AGAGCUUCCUGUCAGCGGUGGGGGCGGGACUUCUGGUUCGCUUAAAGUGACCAACAAAUCGGAAAGAGAAUCAGAACCGGACCCGGGCGGCGACCAUGGAGCCGGCGGUGAACGGGACGGAGCGGCGCUGGAUCCGGCCCGACCUGCCGAGCCGCUGCACCUGGAGCCUGGGGAGCCCCGCGGGGGCGAGCCCGAGCCCGCACCCCCACCGGAGCGCGUCUCCGCCCCCGAACAUCCUGCCCAGUGUCCUCAGUAAGGUGGGCAACACUCCAAUGGUGCGUCUCAACAAGAUCCCCCGAGCGCACGGACUGCAGUGUGAGCUGUUGGCCAAGUGUGAAUACUUCAAUGCUGGUGGCAGCGUGAAGGAUCGAAUCGCUGUGCGAAUGGUGGAGGAUGCAGAGAGAGCAGGGACACUCAAACCGGGGGACACAAUCAUCGAACCCACCUCAGGAAAUACAGGGAUCGGGCUGGCUCUGGCUGCUGCAGUGAAAGGAUAUCGCUGCAUCAUCGUGCUGCCAGAGAAGAUGAGCAUGGAGAAGGUGGAUGUGCUGCGUGCACUUGGUGCAGAGAUUGUCCGAACGCCCACCCAAGCAAGCUUCGAUUCACCAGAGUCCCAUGUUGGUGUUGCUUGGAGGUUGAAGAAUGAAAUCCCCAAUUCGUGCAUCCUGGACCAGUAUCGGAAUCCCAGUAACCCGUUGGUCCAUUAUGAUCAAACUGCAGAAGAGAUCCUCUGGCAGUGUGAUGGGAAGGUGGACAUGGUUGUUGCUGGAGCGGGAACUGGAGGAACCAUCACUGGAAUUGCUCGAAAGCUGAAGGAGAAAUGUCCAAACUGCCAGAUUAUUGGAGUGGAUCCAGAGGGUUCCAUCCUAGCAGAACCUGAACAUCUGAACCAAACAGACAUCAGCACGUAUGAAGUGGAAGGAAUAGGCUACGAUUUCAUUCCUACAGUUCUUGACCGAUCGGUUGUGGAUAAAUGGUACAAAAGCAACGAUGAAAGCUCAUUUCAAAUGGCACGCCAGCUGAUCAGGGAAGAGGGACUGCUGUGUGGUGGGAGUUCAGGGAGUGCCGUUUGUGCUGCUGUUCAGGCAGCCCGAAGCCUGAAGCAAGGUCAGCGAUGUGUGGUCAUCCUCCCUGACUCCAUCCGCAACUACAUGUCCAAGUUCCUCAGUGACAAAUGGAUGGUACAGAAGGGAUUCCAACAGAAACUUCCAGAACUUGGCCAGAAGCCCUGGUGGUGGAAGGUUCAUGUUGAGCAGCUGAAGAUUGCACCUCCUCUGACUGUGCUGCCAUCUCUGUCCUGUCGGAAGACCAUGGAGAUUCUGCGUGAGAAAGGAUAUGAUCAGGCUCCUGUGGUCACUGAAGCAGGGCAGGUCCUGGGAGUGGUGACUCUCCAUCACAUGCUCAGCUCCAUUCUGACCGCAAAGAUUCAACAUGAUGAUCCAGUCAUUCAAGCUCUUAUCAAGCAGUUUCCGCAGGUGUCAACCUUGCGAGAUCUGGUGCUGGACAUGCUGAACAGUCAGACAGCUCUUCCCAUCGGUUGUGGGCAGUGAUGAGCUGGGAGCACUCUCCGUCAAACUGGACAGCAACCCCUUUGUUCUCGUCAUGGAUCAUCAGGCUGUGGCGGAUGGCUGCUGCCCAACCCAGCCCACAGUCACCGGCAUCGUCACGGCCAUCGACCUGUUGGACUUCGUCACCCAGGAGGGGGCUGUCCGCUCCGAGUGAAAUGGUGGGGGUCCUCGGCACCUGCACCUGGCUGCCACACACAGAUGAUCUGUCGGAGUGGGGUCCCACUCCUCUCACCGCUGGCUCUUGCUGGAACUCUCUGGAAUGUUCUUGAAGUGUGGGGCUCUCAUGUUGGAAUUCCAAUGUCUAAACCUGGACUCGGAGGUGAUCCACGCUGCUCUCUGUCCUCCCCUCUCCCCCUCUCCUUUCACCCCCACAGUCCUGUCUCCUUGAGUUUUAUCUGUUCUGUCAUUUGUGGGCCUUUGGUAUAGCCCCAGAAUUCACCAAACAACACCAACUUCUGUGCAACUAUAAUGAGAUGCUAAUUAAUGGUGAUUUCUGUAAGUCUAAUCAAUGACAAGCUCUGAUGUAACACACACGGAUUUAAUAAAGUAACAGAGACAC
Molecule: RNA transcript, 2127 nt
Organism: Pristis pectinata (smalltooth sawfish)
Lineage: Eukaryota; Metazoa; Chordata; Chondrichthyes; Rhinopristiformes; Pristidae
Gene: cbsb
Gene name: cystathionine beta-synthase b
Exons: 17
Source: RefSeq, a predicted model, not a curated record